GCAUAUCAAUAAGCGGAGGAAAAGAAACUAACAAGGAUUCCCCUAGUAACUGCGAGUGAAGCGGGAAAAGCUCAAAUUUAAAAUCUGGCGGUCUUCGGCCGUCCGAGUUGUAGUCUGGAGAAGUGCUUUCCGCGCUGGACCGUGUAUAAGUCUCUUGGAACAGAGCGUCAUAGAGGGUGAGAAUCCCGUCUUUGACACGGACUACCAGUGCUUUGUGAUGCGCUCUCAAAGAGUCGAGUUGUUUGGGAAUGCAGCUCAAAAUGGGUGGUGAAUUCCAUCUAAAGCUAAAUAUUGGCGAGAGACCGAUAGCGAACAAGUACCGUGAGGGAAAGAUGAAAAGCACUUUGGAAAGAGAGUUAAACAGUACGUGAAAUUGCUGAAAGGGAAACGCUUGAAGUCAGUCGCGUCGUCCGGAACUCAGCCUUGCUUCCGCUUGGUGCACUUUCCGGAUGACGGGUCAGCAUCGAUUUUGACCGUCGGAAAAGGGCUGGAGUAAUGUGGCACCUCCGGGUGUGUUAUAGACUCUGGUCGCAUACGGCGGUUGGGAUCGAGGAACGCAGCGCGCCGCAAGGCAGGGGUUCGCCCACUUUCGCGCUUAGGAUGCUGGCAUAAUGGCUUUAAACGACCCGUCUUGAAACACGGACCAAGGAGUCUAACAUACCUGCGAGUGUUUGGGUGGAAAACCCGAGCGCGUAAUGAAAGUGAAAGUUGAGACCUCUGUCGUGGAGGGCAUCGACGCCCGGACCUGACGUUCUCUGAAGGAUCCGCGGUAGAGCAUGUAUGUUGGGACCCGAAAGAUGGUGAACUAUGCCUGAAUAGGGUGAAGCCAGAGGAAACUCUGGUGGAGGCUCGUAGCGAUUCUGACGUGCAAAUCGAUCGUCAAAUUUGGGUAUAGGGGCGAAAGACUAAUCGAACCAUCUAGUA
This 924-nucleotide ribosomal RNA is filed under the name Ganoderma carnosum. Its description in RNAcentral is "partial large subunit ribosomal RNA". It matches the Rfam family "Eukaryotic large subunit ribosomal RNA", at positions 38 to 949 of the family's 3401-position model. Lineage: Eukaryota; Fungi; Basidiomycota; Agaricomycetes; Polyporales; Polyporaceae. The record is from RNAcentral.